Molecule: long non-coding RNA, 448 nt
Organism: Populus trichocarpa (black cottonwood)
Lineage: Eukaryota; Viridiplantae; Streptophyta; Magnoliopsida; Malpighiales; Salicaceae
Exons: 2
Source: RefSeq, a predicted model, not a curated record
UCUCACCUUUUCCACCAAAGACAAACAUGCCUCGAAAUUUAUCUCUAUUACCAUGUUAAAGGGAACUUUGUCUAUAUUUAGAAAAAUGAGAUACUCAAUGGCUACGCCGGUUUGUGUAUCCCUCCGCCUCUGAUGACAGAUGAGAGGCACUAUGGGGCCUCCCUUUGAUUUAUUUGAAAGGGAGGGACGAUCAGGUGGGGUUUUUUAUGGGUCCAUAAGACACGUGAAGUGCUAAUCCAUGUGUGCCAGUGUGAAGAUGUAAGAAGAAGAGUACUGUAGAUGGGGAUGACAGCUUGAGGGAAAGCACUGAAAGACUCCUCUGCUACCUCUCUAUUGUUUGUUGUUUUGAAGCCUUAGUUCCCAGCAAAGUGACAAGUCUGAAGGAUUCUCUUGUUUAUUUGUUUGCAAGUGCAAUUAAAUUACACUAGUUCAAUUAUUGCCUUUUUCA